RNAcentral lists this ribosomal RNA (483 nucleotides) under uncultured bacterium. RNAcentral's name for it is "bacterial SSU rRNA". It matches the Rfam family "Bacterial small subunit ribosomal RNA", at positions 28 to 506 of the family's 1533-position model. The record is from RNAcentral.
GAUUAACGCUAGCGGCAGGCCUAAUACAUGCAAGUCGAACGGCAGCGGGUGUAGCAAUACAUGCCGGCGAGUGGCGCACGGGUGCGUAACGCGUAUGCAAUCUACCUAUAACUGGGGAAUAGCCUUCCGAAAGGAAGAUUAAUACCGCAUAACAUCACGGAACGGCAUCGUUUUGUGAUCAAAACUCAGGUGGUUAUAGAUGAGCAUGCGUGACAUUAGCUAGUUGGUGAGGUAACGGCUCACCAAGGCGACGAUGUCUAGGGGGUCUGAGAGGAUGAUCCCCCACACUGGUACUGAGACACGGACCAGACUCCUACGGGAGGCAGCAGUAAGGAAUAUUGGACAAUGGCCGCAAGGCUGAUCCAGCCAUGCCGCGUGAAGGAUGAAGGUGCUAUGCAUUGUAAACUUCUUUUGUCUGGGGCGAAAAAGACUCGUUUACGAGUAACUGACGGUACCAGAAGAAUAAGCACCGGCUAACUCCGU